Molecule: ribosomal RNA, 236 nt
Filed under: uncultured bacterium
Lineage: Bacteria
Description: partial 16S ribosomal RNA
Rfam family: Bacterial small subunit ribosomal RNA
Source: RNAcentral
CGGGACGGGGUGGAGUAAUGUCUGGGAAACGUGCCUGAUGGAGGGGGGUAACUACUGGAAACGGUAGCUAAUACCGCAUAACGUCGCAAGACCAAAGAGGGGGACCGUCGGGCCUCUUGCCAUCGGAUGUGCCCAGAUGGGAUUAGCUAGUAGGUGGGGUAACGGCUCACCUAGGCGACGAUCCCUAGCUGGUCUGAGAGGAUGACCAGCCACACUGGAACUGAGACACGGUCCAG